GCGGGAUUGGCCUAUCGGUUGGGCACCAGCUUCCCAAGCUGGCAAGACGGGUUCGACUCCCGUAUCCCGCU
This 71-nucleotide transfer RNA is filed under the name Pseudomonadota bacterium. Its description in RNAcentral is "tRNA-Gly". It matches the Rfam family "tRNA". Rfam says of the family: Transfer RNA (tRNA) molecules are approximately 80 nucleotides in length. Their secondary structure includes four short double-helical elements and three loops (D, anti-codon, and T loops). Further hydrogen bonds mediate the characteristic L-shaped molecular structure. tRNAs have two regions of fundamental functional importance: the anti-codon, which is responsible for specific mRNA codon recognition, and the 3' end, to which the tRNAs corresponding amino acid is attached (by aminoacyl-tRNA synthetases). tRNAs cope with the degeneracy of the genetic code in two manners: having more than one tRNA (with a specific anti-codon) for a particular amino acid; and 'wobble' base-pairing, i.e. permitting non-standard base-pairing at the 3rd anti-codon position. RNAcentral also lists the same sequence under 1 other name. The record is from RNAcentral. Lineage: Bacteria; Pseudomonadati; Pseudomonadota.